GGAUAGGUGGCCGAGUGGCUAAAGGCGCUCCCCUGCUAAGGGAGUAUGGGUGAAUAGCCCAUCGAGGGUUCGAAUCCCUCUCUGUCCG
RNAcentral lists this transfer RNA (88 nucleotides) under Strigamia maritima. It matches the Rfam family "tRNA". From Rfam's summary of the family: Transfer RNA (tRNA) molecules are approximately 80 nucleotides in length. Their secondary structure includes four short double-helical elements and three loops (D, anti-codon, and T loops). Further hydrogen bonds mediate the characteristic L-shaped molecular structure. tRNAs have two regions of fundamental functional importance: the anti-codon, which is responsible for specific mRNA codon recognition, and the 3' end, to which the tRNAs corresponding amino acid is attached (by aminoacyl-tRNA synthetases). tRNAs cope with the degeneracy of the genetic code in two manners: having more than one tRNA (with a specific anti-codon) for a particular amino acid; and 'wobble' base-pairing, i.e. permitting non-standard base-pairing at the 3rd anti-codon position. Lineage: Eukaryota; Metazoa; Arthropoda; Chilopoda; Geophilomorpha; Linotaeniidae. The record is from Rfam by way of RNAcentral.